RNAcentral lists this non-coding RNA (98 nucleotides) under Saccharibacillus sacchari. RNAcentral describes it as "Guanine sequence". It matches the Rfam family "Purine riboswitch aptamer". From Rfam's summary of the family: Riboswitches are metabolite binding domains within certain messenger RNAs that serve as precision sensors for their corresponding targets. Allosteric rearrangement of mRNA structure is mediated by ligand binding, and this results in modulation of gene expression. A class of riboswitches that selectively recognises guanine and becomes saturated at concentrations as low as 5 nM. Lineage: Bacteria; Bacillati; Bacillota; Bacilli; Caryophanales; Paenibacillaceae. RNAcentral also lists the same sequence under 1 other name. The record is from RNAcentral.
UAAAAUAGGCCAAGUUGACAUUGUAUACCUCAAUAAGACGGUUUGAGGGUAUCUACCGGGGACCAUACCUCCCGACUACAAAGUCGCGCCGAAGGCGC